This 1841-nucleotide ribosomal RNA is filed under the name Escherichia coli. RNAcentral describes it as "partial 23S ribosomal RNA". It matches the Rfam family "Bacterial large subunit ribosomal RNA", at positions 1119 to 2925 of the family's 2925-position model. Lineage: Bacteria; Pseudomonadati; Pseudomonadota; Gammaproteobacteria; Enterobacterales; Enterobacteriaceae. The record is from RNAcentral.
UCAUUUAAAGAAAGCGUAAUAGCUCACUGGUCGAGUCGGCCUGCGCGGAAGAUGUAACGGGGCUAAACCAUGCACCGAAGCUGCGGCAGCGACGCUUAUGCGUUGUUGGGUAGGGGAGCGUUCUGUAAGCCUGUGAAGGUGUGCUGUGAGGCAUGCUGGAGGUAUCAGAAGUGCGAAUGCUGACAUAAGUAACGAUAAAGCGGGUGAAAAGCCCGCUCGCCGGAAGACCAAGGGUUCCUGUCCAACGUUAAUCGGGGCAGGGUGAGUCGACCCCUAAGGCGAGGCCGAAAGGCGUAGUCGAUGGGAAACAGGUUAAUAUUCCUGUACUUGGUGUUACUGCGAAGGGGGGACGGAGAAGGCUAUGUUGGCCGGGCGACGGUUGUCCCGGUUUAAGCGUGUAGGCUGGUUUUCCAGGCAAAUCCGGAAAACCAAGGCUGAGGCGUGAUGACGAGGCACUACGGUGCUGAAGCGACAAAUGCCCUGCUUCCAGGAAAAGCCUCUAAGCAUCAGGUAACAUCAAAUCGUACCCCAAACCGACACAGGUGGUCAGGUAGAGAAUACCAAGGCGCUUGAGAGAACUCGGGUGAAGGAACUAGGCAAAAUGGUGCCGUAACUUCGGGAGAAGGCACGCUGAUAUGUAGGUGAAGCGACUUGCUCGUGGAGCUGAAAUCAGUCGAAGAUACCAGCUGGCUGCAACUGUUUAUUAAAAACACAGCACUGUGCAAACACGAAAGUGGACGUAUACGGUGUGACGCCUGCCCGGUGCCGGAAGGUUAAUUGAUGGGGUUAGCGGUAACGCGAAGCUCUUGAUCGAAGCCCCGGUAAACGGCGGCCGUAACUAUAACGGUCCUAAGGUAGCGAAAUUCCUUGUCGGGUAAGUUCCGACCUGCACGAAUGGCGUAAUGAUGGCCAGGCUGUCUCCACCCGAGACUCAGUGAAAUUGAACUCGCUGUGAAGAUGCAGUGUACCCGCGGCAAGACGGAAAGACCCCGUGAACCUUUACUAUAGCUUGACACUGAACAUUGAGCCUUGAUGUGUAGGAUAGGUGGGAGGCUUUGAAGUGUGGACGCCAGUCUGCAUGGAGCCGACCUUGAAAUACCACCCUUUAAUGUUUGAUGUUCUAACGUUGGCCCGUAAUCCGGGUUGCGGACAGUGUCUGGUGGGUAGUUUGACUGGGGCGGUCUCCUCCUAAAGAGUAACGGAGGAGCACGAAGGUUGGCUAAUCCUGGUCGGACAUCAGGAGGUUAGUGCAAUGGCAUAAGCCAGCUUGACUGCGAGCGUGACGGCGCGAGCAGGUGCGAAAGCAGGUCAUAGUGAUCCGGUGGUUCUGAAUGGAAGGGCCAUCGCUCAACGGAUAAAAGGUACUCCGGGGAUAACAGGCUGAUACCGCCCAAGAGUUCAUAUCGACGGCGGUGUUUGGCACCUCGAUGUCGGCUCAUCACAUCCUGGGGCUGAAGUAGGUCCCAAGGGUAUGGCUGUUCGCCAUUUAAAGUGGUACGCGAGCUGGGUUUAGAACGUCGUGAGACAGUUCGGUCCCUAUCUGCCGUGGGCGCUGGAGAACUGAGGGGGGCUGCUCCUAGUACGAGAGGACCGGAGUGGACGCAUCACUGGUGUUCGGGUUGUCAUGCCAAUGGCACUGCCCGGUAGCUAAAUGCGGAAGAGAUAAGUGCUGAAAGCAUCUAAGCACGAAACUUGCCCCGAGAUGAGUUCUCCCUGAGACUUAGAGUCUCCUGAAGGAACGUUGAAGACGACGACGUUGAUAGGCCGGGUGUGUAAGCGCAGCGAUGCGUUGAGCUAACCGGUACUAAUGAACCGUGAGGCUUAACCUUACAACGCCGAAG